GUGAGGAAUUUUCCGCAAUGGGCGAAAGCCUGACGGAGCAAUGCCGCGUGAAGGAUGAAGGCCUAUGGGUUGUAAACUUCUUUUCUCAGAAAAGAAUUAUGACGGUAUCUGAGGAAUAAGCAUCGGCUAACUCUGUGCCAGCAGCCGCGGUAAGACAGAGGAUGCAAGCGUUAUCCGGAAUGAUUGGGCGUAAAGCGUCUGUAGGUUGUUUAAAAAGUAUUCUGUCAAAGAUUAGGGCUUAACCCUAGAUAGGCAGAAUAAACUUUUAAGCUAGAGUUUGGUAGAGGCAGAGGGAAUUCCCGGUGGAGCGGUGAAAUGCGUAGAUAUCGGGAGGAACACCAAAGGCGAAGGCACUCUGCUGGACCAAUACUAACACUGAGAGACGAAAGCGAGGGGAGCAAAUGGGAUUAGAUACCCUGAGUAGUCC
Molecule: ribosomal RNA, 427 nt
Filed under: uncultured bacterium
Lineage: Bacteria
Description: partial 16S ribosomal RNA
Rfam family: Bacterial small subunit ribosomal RNA
Source: RNAcentral